GUGAGGAAUAUUGGACAAUGGGUGAAAGCCUGAUCCAGCCAUCCCGCGUGAAGGAUGACGGUCCUAUGGAUUGUAAACUUCUUUUGUAUAGGGAUAAACCUAGAUACGUGUAUCUAGCUGAAGGUACUAUACGAAUAAGCACCGGCUAACUCCGUGCCAGCAGCCGCGGUAAUACGGAGGGUGCAAGCGUUAUCCGGAUUUAUUGGGUUUAAAGGGUCCGUAGGCGGGCCGAUAAGUCAGUGGUGAAAUCUCAUAGCUUAACUAUGAAACUGCCAUUGAUACUGUCGGUCUUGAGUAAAUUAGAGGUAGCUGGAAUAAGUAGUGUAGCGGUGAAAUGCAUAGAUAUUACUUAGAACACCAAUUGCGAAGGCAGGUUACCAUGAUUUAACUGACGCUGAGGGACGAAAGCGUGGGGAGCGAACAGG
Molecule: ribosomal RNA, 425 nt
Filed under: uncultured bacterium
Lineage: Bacteria
Description: bacterial SSU rRNA
Rfam family: Bacterial small subunit ribosomal RNA
Source: RNAcentral